Molecule: ribosomal RNA, 292 nt
Filed under: uncultured bacterium
Lineage: Bacteria
Description: partial 16S ribosomal RNA
Rfam family: Bacterial small subunit ribosomal RNA
Source: RNAcentral
GUGUCAGCAGCCGCGGUAAUACGUAGGGUGCAAGCGUUAAUCGGAAUUACUGGGCGUAAAGCGUGCGCAGGCGGUUAUGUAAGACAGAGGUGAAAUCCCCGGGCUCAACCUGGGAACUGCCUUUGUGACUGCAUAGCUGGAGUACGGCAGAGGGGGAUGGAAUUCCGUGUGUAGCAGUGAAAUGCGUAGAUAUGCGGAGGAACACCAAUGGCGAAGGCAAUCCCCUGGGCCUGUACUGACGCUCAUGCACGAAAGCGUGGGGAGCAAACAGGAUUAGAUACCCGCGUAGUCC